Molecule: ribosomal RNA, 491 nt
Filed under: uncultured bacterium
Lineage: Bacteria
Description: partial 16S ribosomal RNA
Rfam family: Bacterial small subunit ribosomal RNA
Source: RNAcentral
AGUGAACGCUGGCGGUAGGCCUAACACAUGCAAGUCGAACGGCAGCAUAGUAAGAGCUUGCUCUUACGGGUGGCGAGUGGCGGACGGGUGAGGAAUACAUCGGAAUCUACUUUUUCGUGGGGGAUAACGUAGGGAAACUUACGCUAAUACCGCAUACGACCUACGGGUGAAAGCAGGGGAUCUUCGGACCUUGCGCGAUUGAAUGAGCCGAUGUCGGAUUAGCUAGUUGGCGGGGUAAGGCCCACCAAGGCGACGAUCCGUAGCUGGUCUGAGAGGAUGAUCAGCCACACUGGAACUGAGACACGGUCCAGACUCCUACGGGAGGCAGCAGUGGGGAAUAUUGGACAAUGGGCGCAAGCCUGAUCCAGCCAUACCGCGUGGGUGAAGAAGGCCUUCGGGUUGUAAAGCCCUUUUGUUGGGAAAGAAAAGCAGCAGGUUAAUACCCCGCUGUUCUGACGGUACCCAAAGAAUAAGCACCGGCUAACUUCGUG